Molecule: ribosomal RNA, 284 nt
Filed under: Blautia wexlerae DSM 19850
Lineage: Bacteria; Bacillati; Bacillota; Clostridia; Lachnospirales; Lachnospiraceae
Description: partial 16S ribosomal RNA
Rfam family: Bacterial small subunit ribosomal RNA
Source: RNAcentral
UCUUUUCCUUUUUUUCCAGCAGCCGCGGUAAUACGUAGGGGGCAAGCGUUAUCCGGAUUUACUGGGUGUAAAGGGAGCGUAGACGGUGUGGCAAGUCUGAUGUGAAAGGCAUGGGCUCAACCUGUGGACUGCAUUGGAAACUGUCAUACUUGAGUGCCGGAGGGGUAAGCGGAAUUCCUAGUGUAGCGGUGAAAUGCGUAGAUAUUAGGAGGAACACCAGUGGCGAAGGCGGCUUACUGGACGGUAACUGACGUUGAGGCUCGAAAGCGUGGGGAGCAAACAGG